ACGCCCCAACAGGAAGGAGUCUCACGUGACCUCUGCUAUAAGGGCCCAGGCGGCGCCGCUUAGCUUGCUUAAAGGGGCCGCGUCGCCGGAGUGUCUUGCGGGAAGAGAUGCUUCC
Molecule: long non-coding RNA, 115 nt
Filed under: Crocodylus porosus (Australian saltwater crocodile)
Lineage: Eukaryota; Metazoa; Chordata; Crocodylia; Crocodylidae
Description: lncRNA (ENSCPRG00005007183.1)
Source: RNAcentral